Molecule: transfer RNA, 72 nt
Filed under: Danionella translucida
Lineage: Eukaryota; Metazoa; Chordata; Actinopteri; Cypriniformes; Danionidae
Also listed under: 1 other name
Rfam family: tRNA
About the family: Transfer RNA (tRNA) molecules are approximately 80 nucleotides in length.
Source: Rfam by way of RNAcentral
GGCUCGUUGGUCUAGGGGUAUGAUUCUCGCUUUGGGUGUGAGAGGUCCCAGGUUCAAAUCCAGUAUGGGCCC